UGAAUACGAGACGCUAAGGCGUCGAAGUAGUGUAUGUCAUACUUCCAAGAAAAGCUUGCACUGUCAUAGAUAAAAAACGCCUGUACCAUAACCGACACAGGUGGGUAGGUAGAGUAUACUAAGGGGCGCGAGAUAACUCUCUCUAAGGAACUCGGCAAAAUAACUCCGUAACUUCGGGAGAAGGAGUGCCUUAUUCGUAAGGUUGCAAUAACAAGAUCCAAGCAACUGUUUAUCAAAAACACAGGUCUCCGCUAAGUCGUAAGACGAUGUAUGGGGGCUGACGCCUGCCCAGUGCCAGAAGGUUAAAGAAGUUGGUUAGCAAUUGCGAAGCUGAUAACUGAAGCCCUGGUGAACGGCGGCCGUAACAAUAACGGUCCUAAGGUAGCGAAAUUCCUUGUCGGGUAAGUUCCGACCCGCACGAAAGGCGUAAUGAUUUGGAUACUGUCUCGGAGAGGGGCUCGGUGAAAUAGACUUGUCUGUGAAGAUGCGGACUACCUGCACCAGGACAGAAAGACCCUAUGAAGCUUUACUGUAACUUGAAAUUGAAAUUGGACUUUAUUCGCGCAGUAUAGGUGGGAGGCGUUGAUUAUAAUCUUGUGGGAUUAUUGGAGCCAUCAGUGAGAUACCACUCUUGUAAUGUUAGAUUUCUAACUUUGAAUCAUUAUCUGGUCAAAGAACAGUUUCAGGCGGGCAGUUUGACUGGGGCGGUCGCCUCCUAAACGGUAACGGAGGCGUACAAAGGUUUCCUCUGAACGGUUAGAAAUCGUAUCUAGAGUGUAAAGGCAUAAGGAAGCUUGACUGUGAGACCUACAAGUCGAGCAGGGACGGAAGUCGGUCUUAGUGAUCUGACGGUACUGAGUGGAAAGGCCGUCACUCAACGGAUAAAAGUUACUCUAAGGAUAACAGGCUGAUCUCCCCCAAGAGUUCACAUCGGCGGGGAGGUUUGGCACCUCGAUGUCGGCUCAUCGCAUCCUGGGGCGGUAGUACGUCCCAAGGGUUGGGCUGUUCGCCCAUGAAAGCGGUACGCGAGCUGGGUUCAGAACGUCGUGAGACAGUUCGGUCCAUAUCCGGUGUAGGCGUUAGAAUAUUGAGAGGAGCCUUCUUUAGUACGAGAGGACCGAGAAGGACAUACCUCUGGUGUACCAGUUAUCGUGCCAACGGUAAACGCUGGGUAGCUAUGUAUGGAGUGGAUAACCGCUGAAAGCAUCUAAGUGGGAAGCCCACCUCAAGAUAAGUAUCCUCAU
This 1244-nucleotide ribosomal RNA is filed under the name metagenome. RNAcentral describes it as "bacterial LSU rRNA". It matches the Rfam family "Bacterial large subunit ribosomal RNA", at positions 1564 to 2817 of the family's 2925-position model. The record is from RNAcentral.